GAAAAAAGACAAGUACAAUAAUCAUGAUCCAAGUCCCAUUGAGUUUUUCAAAGACACCCAUACAAACAGCAAGACUGAUAGCAUGAGCUGAGUCAGGACUUCUAGCUCAUAAUGCGAUGGAAAAGAAAAGGGAAGCACAAUCAGAAGGUGAGCAGCCAGUAUCCGAUACAUCGAUUGUGGCUGAAGUUCUAAAGGAAGAAAGCGCCCAUAGCACCGUCCUUUCUAGCAUGGGGUAUGCAUCAAGAUCCGGGAGGUCUGGGAGCUCUACUUCAUGAGCCUAGAUCCGAUUUCUAGAAGAAAGAAUUGAAUAGAAGGAUAGAGAGGCAAGAGAUGCAAAUGACAGGCAUCGGGAGGAGUUAGUCGCAAGACUUGAAGCACGAGAGAGAGCAUUUUAAGAGAUACAAAAGAAGCAGCAAGAAGAAUUGGAAGCUUUAAAAAAGAGCCAGCAAGAGAAGACUGAAGCCUGGGCAAAGAAGCAAAAGGAGACGGGACAAUCUGCUUGAUUUUUUGAGGGCUCAAGCAACUCUGCAGUCCCAGUCCCAACCAGAUGGUUCAUGAAUGCCAUCCUUACAUUGCAAUCAUCAGGAUAACAUAUGUGGUCUUUAGUUAAUAUUAGUUUUCAUCUUGUCUAUUGUCUGUGUUAAACUUGAGUCAGCUUUU
Triticum dicoccoides is the source of this 660-nucleotide long non-coding RNA. RefSeq lists it as uncharacterized. The transcript is spliced from 3 exons. The record is from RefSeq and is a predicted model, not a curated record. NCBI's taxonomy places the organism in Eukaryota, Viridiplantae, Streptophyta, Magnoliopsida, Poales, Poaceae.